GAUGAAGAACGUAGCGAAAUGCGAUAAGUAAUGUGAAUUGCAGAAUUCAGUGAAUCAUCGAAUCUUUGAACGCACAUUGCGCCCGCCAGUAUUCUGGCGGGCAUGCCUGUCCGAGCGUCAUUUCAACCCUCGAACCCCUCCGGGGGUCGGCGUUGGGGACCUCGGGAGCCCCUAAGACGGGAUCCCGGCCCCGAAAUACAGUGGCGGUCUCGCCGCAGCCUCUCCUGCGCAGUAGUUUGCACAACUCGCACCGGGAGCGCGGCGCGUCCACGUCCGUAUAACACCCAACUUCUGAAAUGUUGACCUCGGAUCGGGUAGGAAUACCCGCUGAACUUAAGCAUAUCGAUAAGCGGAGGA
Molecule: unclassified non-coding RNA, 357 nt
Filed under: soil metagenome
Description: partial contains 5.8S ribosomal RNA, internal transcribed spacer 2, and large subunit ribosomal RNA
Rfam family: 5.8S ribosomal RNA (bases 1-120)
Source: RNAcentral